CUGGCGGUGUAGCAGCCGCCAAGGGUGGGGCUGCUCGCCCAUUAAAAGGGAACGUGAGCUGGGUUUAGACCGUCGUGAGACAGGUCGGACUCUACCUGUCGGGGGUGCUGGCCGCCUGAGGGGAAGGUGCCCUCAGUACGAGAGGAACGGGGUGCCGCGGCCUCUAGUCUACCGGUUGUCCGGUAGGGCAAACGCCGGGCAGCCACGCCGUAGGGGAUAACCGCUGAAAGCAUCUAAGCGGGAAACCCUCCCCGAAACUAGGCGGCCAUUCCACCAUGCGUAAAGCAUGGUGGACGAGGGCUGGGGUAGAAGACCCCGUUGAUGGGGCGGGUGUGUAAGCACCAAGGGUCCUCUGGACCCGAGGUGUUUAGCAUGCCGCUCCCAAUCGCCCGAGGU
Molecule: ribosomal RNA, 396 nt
Filed under: Candidatus Bathyarchaeota archaeon
Lineage: Archaea; Thermoproteati; Candidatus Bathyarchaeota
Description: bacterial LSU rRNA
Rfam family: Archaeal large subunit ribosomal RNA
Source: RNAcentral